Poecile atricapillus (Black-capped chickadee) is the source of this 4099-nucleotide long non-coding RNA. RefSeq lists it as uncharacterized. The record is from RefSeq and is a predicted model, not a curated record. The transcript is spliced from 2 exons. NCBI's taxonomy places the organism in Eukaryota, Metazoa, Chordata, Aves, Passeriformes, Paridae.
AAACGGAGUCCUGAGCUUUCGGCCCCUCGCUAGGAGUGUCGCAAGGCUGAGGCGCCGCGGUUCAGCCGCGGAAAGGAGCGCGGCGUGCGGAGCAGAGCCCGUACGGCCGCUGAGGCGCGUCCCGCUCGGAGCUCCCCGGGAAGGGCGUGAGGGGCCCCGCGGGAUUCCCGAGGAGGCGCUGGGAAGGGACGGGCAGCACAGAACGCCGCUCCUUGUCUCUGCCGUCAGCGCAAUGCUCCCGAGCAGCUGCGGACACAUUCGGGACUGUCUGGGUGGGGUUUGUGCAGCUCCUCGGUGAAUGCUGAACUUCACCGCCUGAGGCUCCUUCUGCAGCUCCAUCUGCGAGCUCCUGUUCGGAGCAUCACCCUCUCCUCUUCCAGAGCUCUUAACUCCAUCAGUACCACAGGGAAACUUAGAGAAAGCUGAUUUUCAGCACUAAAGCUCACAAAACAUACAGAGAAUCACGAAGCAAGUUACCUUUUCCAUGCACUAAACAGUGCUAGAAAAAUCCCGGAUUAAAAUGUUCCCUUGUCUCCACCCUGUGGUUCUGCUGUGGUCCAUUCCUGCUCCUUGUGCCCUGCUGGAUCCUACCUUGGGAAUGCUGAAUGAAUACUCACGCAGGAACUGGAAUGGGAAUUGGACAUCCAAAACCCACCAGGAGCUGAUGAACUCCCUGGUUUAUAGCCAUGGAUCCAGGUUAACUCUACACAGAUUGAACCAGCUUGUGACAAACACUUUUUAUAGGAAUCCAAGGUGAACUGGAGGACUGGGAGGACACAGCAAUGGAAAUAUUGAGAGAUUCACCAGUACAAAGUGUCAGAUGCUGAGCCUGGACUGAUGAUGAGUGUCUGCAGGGAACUUGUAUAAACUGCAAGUGGCUGAAGAGAAACAGCCCCAGAUUUAUCACAGAACAUCUAUGAAUCAGAAAUACAAUACAGCCACUAAGGAGACAAAUGUGAUCACUCAAAUUUAAUGGAUCACAUUCUUUUCACACAAGAGAGGGAACUAUCAACACUGAAAUAAAUACCUGGCGCCUUGGCCAUGAGCCACUAACUGGAAUAUUGUUCCUGGUCACUGCUAUUCAAGGAUAAUUAAUUCAAAUAUAUGCAAGCAGGAUGAACAGAAACAGAACUUUGGUUUUGAGAGGAGGCUAACAUUUAAUUUGGUCUAAGGAAUGAAGGGUUUAAGUCUCUCCAAGCUUCACUAGAAAAAUAAACUCAGCUAGAACAGCUCAAGUGAUGACAGACGCAGCAUUAUAAAUACACUGGCACAGACACCACAGCAAAACUGCUCUACCAACAGGUCUGAGACUGCCUUCCAAUAGAGCCAGGGCCAAACCCCAAAUAUCCUUAACACAGGCCUUUGCUGCUAAAUCUGGACAAUUCCAUUUCCUCAACCCCCUGAGGGAUUAACUCCUGACUCAGCCCCUCAUCCCCAUUUUGGCUGAACACCCCAGUAACAUUCCCUGCAGUUCUCAGCCAACAUCCAGUAUCAGCUCUGCCGCUCCUGGGUUUGCCCAAAACAACUUCCAACAAAAACAUUGCACGUGCCCCUUUCAGGAAUGUGUGCUUUUCCCUCAGGGAUGAGCCAAAGGCUUUAGUUUAAGUCCUGCUUUCACAGCUCCAAAGGCAGGCUGGUCAUGCACACAAAGGGCUGUGUUGUGCUGGGCACAAACCCCUCGGGAAGCCAGGGAUUUGUUCACCCUCAGACACUGUCCCUGCUCAGGCUGGCUCCCUGUCAGGUGGGAGAAAACCUCUGCUUUUGGAGAGGAAUGCUGCAGGGAGAGAUUCCUUCAGGAAGUCCUACCAAAGGAGGAGCUGUGACCCCACCAACCAAAUCAUGGAAGGGUUAAGGUUGGCAAGGACUUCAGAGAUCACCAAGUGCAACCAUCAACCCGCAGCACCACCAUGGUCACCACUAAACCACGUCCUCCAGGGCCACAUCCACACGUUUUUCAACACUUCCAGGGAUGGUGACUCCACCACUGUCCUGCCAGGAAGGUGGAGCACCAGGAAAAUCAGAUAUGAUGAUCAUUCUGCAGUUUUCAUCUUUGGGAAUCCUUCUUAAGCUUUCCAAGUCUUGUUAUUUGAAGCAGGCAAAGCCCUGGCCUGGCUGUAUCAGGUGUGUCUCAUUUAGACACACCCCACCACUGCUGCCAUCACACUAAAACACAUCCACAGCGAAAGACACAGGAAUUUUCCUUUUUUUUUUUUCCCCAUAAACACAUUGCACUAUUCAAGGUUUUCAUCUUUGAAUUUAAUUAAAGAAAAAUGUCUCAAAGUGAUGAAGCAUGUCUGACUUCCAGCUUCUUUCAAUGGCACAAGCCAGUGCAGUAAAUUGUAGAAAGCAAGCUCAGUUAGAAUUUUAUUUUUCAUUUAAAAUAAAAAACAGAGAGAAAACUCUCCAGAUGUGAGGUCCUGUUAAAAAAGUGGCUGUUCACUUGUAAACAGAAUAAAAGUGUUAAGAACACAGUUUCAUACAGCUUAAACAAAACCACUUUUCAGAAGCAAUACAAGUAUGUUACAACACCGUAAGAACACCAAAAGCAGAAAACAAAAGAAUGGCAGAAGAAUCACAUAACAUUGCUUACUAAAGAGAUAAAUAACUGAUGGUGAAUAUUAAUAGCUUGACAUUUUUAUUGCUCCAAUGGUAGUGUGUUGACAAGAAAAUGUAGUAAACUGUCAGUGGGACAAUAAUAAACAUCAAUUUAUGGUUUUGCAUAUGAAGUUUUGUACCUAUCACGAAAAACACAGGAACUUUUUCUUUUGCAUUUAUCAAAACCACACCAGAUUUAAUUUUUUUUUUUUUUCUGUUUUCAAGUCACCCAUUUACAACUGAACCCACAUUCUACCUAGACUUGGGUGUGCAUGUUUGAACACUUUUGCGUUCCUCCUCUGGGAAAACACCUUUGCAGGAGCAGGUGGGGAAUCACUGAGGAAAAGCUUUGAUGCUCUGCCAGAGUUCUGCACUCCUUCAGCACUCUCUAGAUACAAAACUUUCUAGAUACAAACCCAAAGAUUUCCUGGAUAAAAUUUUGAAGCAAAAUUAGUGUCAACAUGUUGAUGUGAAGAAAUAAACACUGAUUUGGUAGACAGUAGCUGCUUUUAAAAAUCUGCUGCAGACUCCCACUCCUGAGAGGGACCAGUUCCCUUUUCUCCUUCUCUGCACAAUGGUGUUGGAACCAGCCAAGGCACUUUCUUUACCACUUCCACUCACUCUGCUGACAUUCAUCUGUUACACUGCUACAAAUUCUGACAGAUACCCUCCAUGAACACUUCACCAACUCAUGCUGAUCAUUUAUUGUCAAAAAUGAGAUUUCCAGUCUUGGGAGACAGAAUUACCUGUGUUCUUGUAUUAAAGGACAGCCCAAGCAAAAAGAACCUGUGUACAGAGUUCACAGCAAUUACUGCCAGCUGCCUUCACCUUGCAGUGAGCUAUGAAUCCUGUGUCUUUCACAUGCAAAUAUAAUACUGCUGCUGGUUUUGCAUUUUAAUGCAAAUUUACCUACUUAUUAAAACAUGGAGCUUACUGUAAAUGACAGGUUUGGCUCUGGUUCAUUACCAGUUGCUUUAUGGCCACAUAAUUAAAUGUCAAUUAAAACACAAAGACAAAACCCAUUCAUGGUUUGGAGACUGCACAAUUAAUAAUUAAGGACAAAUUAAAAUGUAUAGGAUUUAUGUACUUAGAAUGUAAACUUUACAAAUUAAUAUUAUGUGCUUAAGUGUUCAAGGCCAGUUUGGAUGGAGCUCUGAGCAUCCUGGGCUAGUGGAAGGAGGGGGUGCAAUGACAGGAGCUUUGGGGUCCCUCCCACCCAACCCAUCCUGUGGUUCCAUGGGAAGUGCCUGUUCUCCCACUUGGAAAAGUACAGGGAGAAAACAAGAGACACGUGAAGAAGAAAAUCAGAACCUGCUGAGAUUUCUUGAGGUUUUUUGCACAACAAAGUUCUGGCAGAACAGUAAGAAACUUCCAUUGUUCUGUUAAUUACUCCAGAAACUCGUUUGUCAGGGAAACCCAAGGAAAUAAUUGGGUGUGCCAAUUCAGUUUUGGUUUACUCUGCCUUUUUCUGCCAUUAUUUUCUCUGCUUCCAGUUAACACUCAU